Molecule: ribosomal RNA, 404 nt
Filed under: uncultured bacterium
Lineage: Bacteria
Description: bacterial SSU rRNA
Rfam family: Bacterial small subunit ribosomal RNA
Source: RNAcentral
UAGGGAAUAUUGCUUAAUGGGCGAAAGCCUGGAGCAGCAACGCCGCGUGAACGAAGAAGGCCUUCGGGUCGUAAAGUUCUUUUACGUGGGAUGAGGAAGGACAGUACCACGAGAAUAAGUCUCGGCUAACUACGUGCCAGCAGCCGCGGUAAAACGUAGGAGACGAGCGUUAUCCGGAUUUACUGGGCGUAAAGCGCGUGUAGGAGGCGCUACAAGUUGGAUGUGAAAGCUCCCGGCUUAACUGGGAGAGGUCGUUCAAGACUGUAGGGCUAGAGUGAGGCAGAGGUAGAUGGAACUCCGGGAGUAGUGGUGAAAUGCGUAGAUAUCCGGAAGAACACCAGAGGCGAAAGCGAUCUACUGGGCCUAGACUGACACUGAGACGCGAAAGCCAGGGUAGCAAACGG